RNAcentral lists this ribosomal RNA (449 nucleotides) under uncultured bacterium. Its description in RNAcentral is "partial 16S ribosomal RNA". It matches the Rfam family "Bacterial small subunit ribosomal RNA", at positions 328 to 793 of the family's 1533-position model. The record is from RNAcentral.
AACCCAGACUCCUACGGGAGGCAGCAGUGGGGGAUAUUGCACAAUGGGGGGAACCCUGAUGCAGCGACGCCGCGUGGGUGAAGGAGUAUUUCGGCAUGUAAAGCCCUAUCGGCAGGGAAGAAGCAAGACGGUACCUGACUAAGAAGCCCCGGCUAACUACGUGCCAGCAGCCGCGGGAAUACGUAGGGGGCGAGCGUUAUCCGGAUUCACUGGGUGUAAAGGGAGCGUAGACGGCCAAGCAAGCCAGGGGUGAAAGCCCGGGGCCCAACCCCCGGACUGCUUUGGAAACUGUAUAGCUGGAGUGCAGGAGAGGUAAGUGGAAUUCCUGGUGUAGCGGUGAAAUGCGUAGAUAUUAGGAGGAACACCAGUGGCGAAGGCGGCUUACUGGACUGUAACUGACGUUGAGGCUCGAAAGCGUGGGGAGCAAACAGGAUUAGAUACCCCGGUAC